This 200-nucleotide unclassified non-coding RNA is filed under the name soil metagenome. RNAcentral's name for it is "partial contains internal transcribed spacer 2 and large subunit ribosomal RNA". The record is from RNAcentral.
AUUACACCCCUCAAGCAUAGCUUGGUAUUGGACAUUCGCGGGCCCCUUUAUAGCUCGCGGGUCCGAAAAGCAGUGGCGGUCCCCGAGGAUUUCGCGCGUAGUAAAUAUUAUCCCGCGUUGGAAAGAAUCGUGGGCAUGCCAAAACCCCCAUAAUCUCCAUGAUUGACCUCGGAUCAGGUAGGGAUACCCGCUGAACUUAA